AAAGAAGGCCAUUUGCAACAGAGAGUGGAACUUUCGCCAACCCACAAUCUGGAGGCUUUGAGGUCAUUUGAAGGACACAUCAUUUCCCGCAACCCAUGAAAUGAUGUUCAGCUGUUGUGAUCUCUGAAUACUUGUUGAAUUAACCUGUUUCAAAAAGAGGCCCUUUGCAACAGAGAGUGGAACUUUCGCCAACCCACAAUCUGGAGGCUUUGAGGUCAUUUGAAGGACACAUCAUUUCCCGCAACCCAUGAAAUGAUGUACAGCUGUUGUGUGUUGAAUCAUCUUGCUUGAAUAAUUGA
This is a long non-coding RNA of Saccostrea cuccullata (small rock oyster), 299 nucleotides long. RefSeq lists it as uncharacterized. The transcript has 3 exons. NCBI's taxonomy places the organism in Eukaryota, Metazoa, Mollusca, Bivalvia, Ostreida, Ostreidae. The record is from RefSeq and is a predicted model, not a curated record.